UGAUGUAAAAGGCUGGCUAGCGAUAA
This 26-nucleotide non-coding RNA is filed under the name Mus musculus (house mouse). The record is from RNAcentral. Lineage: Eukaryota; Metazoa; Chordata; Mammalia; Rodentia; Muridae.